GAGGUGGCAUGGCUGGUAGUAUG
RNAcentral lists this microRNA (23 nucleotides) under Eptesicus fuscus (big brown bat). Its description in RNAcentral is "efu-miR-9186o". The record is from miRBase by way of RNAcentral. Lineage: Eukaryota; Metazoa; Chordata; Mammalia; Chiroptera; Vespertilionidae.